UUUAAGCGCAGUUGUGAGUUUAUACGUUCAACAUUUGACCGUACAUCUUAUUUAAAAUUUUUGUGUAAGUAGUAUUUUUGUUAUAUUAGAUGAUAAAAAUAAAUAGUACUCUAUGCAUGAUUUUUUUUUCAAAUAAGACGGAUGGUCAAAUGUUGGACACGGAAAACCAUAUCUGCACUUAAA
This is a non-coding RNA of Oryza barthii, 183 nucleotides long. Lineage: Eukaryota; Viridiplantae; Streptophyta; Magnoliopsida; Poales; Poaceae. The record is from Rfam.